Molecule: long non-coding RNA, 496 nt
Organism: Oncorhynchus masou masou (cherry salmon)
Lineage: Eukaryota; Metazoa; Chordata; Actinopteri; Salmoniformes; Salmonidae
Exons: 4
Source: RefSeq, a predicted model, not a curated record
GAAAGGUUGGGGGAGAGAAACAUAGAAUUGAAUCUCAGGACCACAAAUGCAGAACGACACAGGAAAAAGAAAAAGACAUUAAACUAAGACCUAACUCGGUCUCCCCUGAGGAGCAAGCAAAGGAGACCCAGCAGAAAGAGAAGAAGAAGAGCAUCCAUCCAGCUGUGGCGGCCCUGCAGCUGUUCACUCUCUUCUGCUGUGGUGGGAAAGUCAAGCUGAGGAAGACUCGUCCCUCUCAGAACAGACAGAGUAGAAAGGACCAGGACAAAGAUAAUGCAUCUGAUACUGGUUCAGACUUGUCUGGAGGUGAUGUUACAACCCAAAGGGUCAAGGACAAGAGUAAUGGAAAGGUGGGCAGGGAGAAAGACCGGACUGAAGUUCAGCUGUUGAAAUCAUCUCAGGACCACGAACCCGAAAAUCGAAGGACACGCCGGCAAGUGAAGACCCCUGUGGAGGAAAUUUACAUAAGACCUGACUCUCUGACUCUACCACGUGC